This 684-nucleotide long non-coding RNA is filed under the name Vulpes vulpes (red fox). RNAcentral describes it as "lncRNA (ENSVVUG00000004273.1)". Lineage: Eukaryota; Metazoa; Chordata; Mammalia; Carnivora; Canidae. The record is from RNAcentral.
GUGGCAGAAAUGCACGGGGAGCAGAGAAAGAGAGGGCACACUGUCUCCCAUUUAUUUUUAGUAUUUUAUUUAGGGAUGGGUUCACUACCAUGCUGUUCUUAGGCUCUCCUGAGGUAGCAGAGGUGCAGAGAUGGCAGCGAUCCUGAGGCAAGAGUACUGAAAUUUGUUCUUUAAUUUACUUGAUUAUCCAAGUUGGGCAUUUGAAGAAACACAUCCAUGUUUCCCCAUCGCUUAGUGCCACGGGGUAAAAAGAAAUCUAAAAUGCAAGGAGGGGAGAAGAAGAAAAUGCCCCACAUACCUCAGACAAAUCCAAGUCAACUCCUCACACCACCCAACCACCCAUCCCAGAAGAAUGAAACCACACAACACACCAGGACAGCACAGAGCCAACUUUGCUUUCACAGAGAGAUGUUUUCUCAACCAAAAAAGCAACCCUUAGAAUAUUGCUGGAAAAAUCUAUGUUAGAGGAGAAGCAAGUGCAGGUGAGAUGAACUUUCCAUAGAGGAUAUACUUGAGCAUAUUUGUAACAUGGAUUUCCUUCCUUCCUUUUCCUUCCUUCCUUCCUUCCUUCCUUCCUUCCUUCCUUCUCCUUCCUUCCCCCCCCCCCUCCUUCCUUCCUUCCAUCUUUCUUACUCCCUCUUCCUUCCUUUUCUCUCUGCCUUUGAUGUGAAAACAAGUAUGACC